RNAcentral lists this long non-coding RNA (597 nucleotides) under Glycine max (soybean). RNAcentral's name for it is "long non-coding RNA (GMAX_LNC000557)". Lineage: Eukaryota; Viridiplantae; Streptophyta; Magnoliopsida; Fabales; Fabaceae. The record is from RNAcentral.
CUCCACACUCUAAGUCAGUCACGUCUGUAGUGUUUCUUCCUCUCUAUCGCAGCUCUUGUGUUCCUCUCCACGUUGCAACUCUUCUUUCUCACUCCCGGUUGAAGCCAGCUCGUUGCCACUGUUGUUGUUGGUGUCGAGGUAAGCUUCAUGUGUUCGUUCUCACUUUUUGUUGUUGGGGUUUUGAAGUUAGGGACAUGUAGGGUAGGGUAAGGAAGAGACAAGACUAUAUAUAGUGACCAAACAAACAACCCCUUGCAAGGCCUUCGGCCAGGGCACCUUGUGUGCUACUAUACUGUCCAGUGUCAGUGUUUGUGACUUUGUGUCCUAAGACUAAAGGGUGUUCCUCUUAGGCGUGUCGUUGAUAUAUUCUGGGGCACAGUUCCUCCAUUGAUAUAUUUUGGGUGUUGUUGAUGAGAGAUUGAACAAUGAGUAUGAUGUGGAUGAAAUAACAAGCGUGAUUGUUGUGGGGUAUGGUGUGCUAACCCAAACAACAACGAAAGGCCCAUGGCCGCACAAGUAAUAAAAGUUUUUCAACUUGAAGCGCCAUUAGCCCCAAAGGAUGACAAGUAUAAUGCUUAGACCGAUUCAAUGUCGACC